UCGUGAAUCUUAGCGUAAUGUC
RNAcentral lists this microRNA (22 nucleotides) under Daphnia pulex (common water flea). RNAcentral describes it as "Dpu-Mir-1993_5p* (star (passenger))". Lineage: Eukaryota; Metazoa; Arthropoda; Branchiopoda; Diplostraca; Daphniidae. The record is from RNAcentral. RNAcentral also lists the same sequence under 1 other name.